GACGAACGCUGGCGGCGUGCUUAACACAUGCAAGUCGAACGGUGAACCUCUUCGGAGGGGAUCAGUGGCGAACGGGUGAGUAACACGUGGGCAACCUGCCCCCGGCUCUGGGAUAACUCCAAGAAAUUGGGGCUAAUACCGGAUGUUCACUGCUUCCCGCAUGGGUGGUGGUGGAAAGGGUUUCCGGCUGGGGAUGGGCCCGCGGCCUAUCAGCUUGUUGGUGGGGUAGUGGCCUACCAAGGCGACGACGGGUAGCCGGCCUGAGAGGGUGACCGGCCACACUGGGACUGAGACACGGCCCAGACUCCUACGGGAGGCAGCAGUGGGGAAUAUUGCGCAAUGGGCGGAAGCCUGACGCAGCGACGCCGCGUGGGGGAUGACGGCCUUCGGGUUGUAAACCUCUUUCAGCAGGGACGAAGCGCAAGUGACGGUACCUGCAGAAGAAGCGCCGGCCAACUACGUG
Molecule: ribosomal RNA, 463 nt
Filed under: uncultured bacterium
Lineage: Bacteria
Description: partial 16S ribosomal RNA
Rfam family: Bacterial small subunit ribosomal RNA
Source: RNAcentral